AUACCAAUCCUUCUGUGGUGAGUUCUGGAAUGUACGCAGUACCUCGAGUACUUUCACUUUCCCGUGAGGCUCCGUUAUCCCAGUUAGCGCGUGAUGCGCCUGACGUUCGGUAACUCGAUGAUAUGGAGGUGGGUAACUAGAGAGGUGUGUUGAAGAAGCUUCGCAUUGGUUAAUACCCGAUCAUCUCUCACAGUCUCACCCAAACCCGUAAACCAUCGAUGAAAUUCCCCCAACUUGGGAUUUGUCCCGCACCGGCCUCACCCUCAGCAAAGGUUUGAGGUUCAGCUAGGAGAUUACAAAGCAACAGGAGUGAUGGGAAGGAGACACCUCAUCGUCGUCUUUUUUAUUUGAAAGUAGCUAACAUCGAAGAAAGAAUGUGACUCAGAAACACACCAUCAUCUACUGAAUUGAAGUUUCUGAGUCGAUUUCAGGUGUUGUUGGUGCUUGGUGCAGCAGGAGGUGUUGGACUUGCGGCGGUACAGAUUGGGAAGGUUGUUGGAGCCGUUGUCAUUGCGGUAGCCAGGUUUCUGCCCUAAAUGAGGCAGUUCUGGGCAGCGUCAAGUCUAUGUUCAAAGCUCGGGAGGAACCGCUGAAUACAUCUUCGGAAAGAAGUGUGGUGAUGUUUCUGAUAUUCCAGAGUUGACUUAAAUCAGAGUUCAUUACCCAGUUAUGCUUGCUUUGUGGACUGAGUGCCUCACUUUUGCUUUAUUGAGCAUUAGAUUGUGCUCAGUACGUAUUUGUUUGGAAUGGUGGCUUUUUGUUAAUAUAGUGGUAUGAAGUAGAAAGUCCACUCUGAUCUGGGUACAUCUGAUGUAAAUUUUGAUACCAUGUGAUGGACAGCUUUGUAAAUAAAAUGCAAUCAGUUGCAUGUGUAUAUAAAGGAUCGUUUUC
Fragaria vesca subsp. vesca is the source of this 891-nucleotide RNA transcript. RefSeq lists it as uncharacterized. The transcript is spliced from 4 exons. NCBI's taxonomy places the organism in Eukaryota, Viridiplantae, Streptophyta, Magnoliopsida, Rosales, Rosaceae. The record is from RefSeq and is a predicted model, not a curated record.